CUCCACCCAAUCCCUAACCUUAGCAGCUCCCGACACCGCGGCCAUCUCCUUCGCCCAGCCCGACAGACCGCCGCCGCCCACUUCCACGGUGUCGUCACCGUCGUCCUCGCGUGCACACGGCAAGAGGAGCGCCCCCACCCUCUCCUAUCCUCCUCCCCUCAUCACGAUCCAGGACAAGGAGGGCCACCGUGGCGAGCAGGUCAGGCGGCGCAUCCAGAUUGCUGAGGAGCCGCCCGCAAGGUCAUCCAUGGCUCGACCGAACAGAGCAGGUGAGGAGGGAGAUGCUGGUUCCUCUUUCCCGCUGCUUAUCUAGGUCUAUUUAUCGUGAUUCGUAGGGAUCUGGUUAGGUUUGCUAACUUUAUCCUCAGCAUGGUCCGGUUGCUGCGGAUUGGUGAGCUAUAGAAGGUACCUCGUGUGCCUCCCGUACCAGUGGAUUUGAUCUACCUUGAAUCUUUUUGCAUUUGGAUCCUUUUGCAUCUCCUCUUCCUCCUUUGGUUUCUUCUUCUUGCCUCUUCUGUUCCUUUGGAUGUUUCAUGGGCUAUUUUGGCUGCUUCCUGGGUGUUCAUUUUCUUCUCUUGCUUCUUUCAUUUUUAUGUGAUUCCUCUUCACCUAAUGACAUUGUAUUGUUUAUGUCCUGCCUAAUUUGUUUUGCAGGUACUAUGCUUGUCGUGGAUUGCUGCCUCACGUGUGCUGGAUGCUUCUUCCCUUUAUCCUUGGUGUGCAAGACAUGUUCUUUCUAAAAGUGAUGCCCACUAAUGUGUUUGAUACAUCGACUUUGACAUGGUCUCCCCUUUUUAUCCAGUUUGAGGUAUUCCAGUGAUCUUAUCCUGUUAUCUUUCUUAUAUGAUUCAUAUCCCUGUGUUCAUAAGUUUUCUUCUACAGGUAUCGAAGUAAUUUUAUCUUGAGAAAAGAGAGCUUUCCUCCUUAUUAGGUCGCUUUAGAGGGUAAGUAAGCUGUUCAUGAUAGCUCAAUUAUUAGUUUCUCUUCUAUGGUUUCUUAGUAGUUAGCAGUGCUUAGUAGUAUCUCAAACACUAUAUAAAGUUGAAAUCCUAACAUUUUACUAGAUGCAACUAGACAGUGGAUGUUGCUAGGUCAACAUAGAGCAGAGAAAAAUGCAUCUUCUACGGCACAUCACAUUAUGCCUCUUCCAUAGGGAAGUUUCCAAUGUUUAUUCGCAAAUCUCACUCAUAGAUACGUGGCCCCAUUUUUGUGUUGAAGGUUAUAUGAGCUGAUAACGACAUCUUCUCAUCUAAAAUUUAAAAUAAAUGGGAUUGAUUGUCUAUGGUGAAACAUGAGGAUUGCUCAUGCCUUUUUGCAAAACUAAUUCUGGACCUUGUCAUCGUUUUGGCAAUUUGGAUAUAGAUGUGCUUUCUUUCAGGUUAGUAUCCAGGACAUAAUUGGGCUUAACUAGGACAUACUUGAUUCUCUGUUGGGCUUCACCAGUUGGGCUUAACUAGGACAUAAUUGAUUCUCUGUUGGUAAAAAGAAAAAAAGAUUAUCUGGUUGGAGAAAACCUAUCUUUUGCUUUGUUUGCUUCUGAAUUUUAGUAACCUGUUUUCAUUUUAUUGUUUUCAGGUUAGUACGGGAGUUCCUACCAAGACUGACUUAUGGAAGUUAUGCUAGCUCCACCAGUUGGGCCUUCUGUACAAAACUAGACUCAAGAUAAUUUAUUUUGGUGCUUGCGAUAAAUAUUAGAUAGAGGGGUGAUGCACACAUACUUCAUCCAGUCUAUCUGUUCAUGUAUGUUAAUUAACUAAUUAGACAAAAAUAACUCUGUCUCCAUGGUGUUUGUGAUGAUGCUACCAAUUUACUAAACACUAAAAUAUUGGGUUGUG
Molecule: long non-coding RNA, 1835 nt
Filed under: Triticum aestivum (bread wheat)
Lineage: Eukaryota; Viridiplantae; Streptophyta; Magnoliopsida; Poales; Poaceae
Description: long non-coding RNA (TAES_LNC007678)
Source: RNAcentral